UUUCUUGUUUAAGGAUUCCAAAUCCUAGUAGUAAUAGAAUUAACAUUCUAUUGUAAAUACCUGUCUCUUCUAGGUAUUUUAUUAGAGAUUAUUAUGAUAUUGAUGUUGAUUGUUGACAAUUAAUAAGAUUUAAGAAUUUGCAUUUCUUCUUUUUUUGAGAAUUUGUUUCUAUAGAAAAUGUGUUUUCUACCUUUUGUGAAUGUGUUUCUCUACCCUUUGAG
Molecule: unclassified non-coding RNA, 221 nt
Filed under: Hevea brasiliensis (rubber tree)
Lineage: Eukaryota; Viridiplantae; Streptophyta; Magnoliopsida; Malpighiales; Euphorbiaceae
Source: RNAcentral